RNAcentral lists this ribosomal RNA (518 nucleotides) under uncultured bacterium. RNAcentral describes it as "bacterial SSU rRNA". It matches the Rfam family "Bacterial small subunit ribosomal RNA", at positions 22 to 518 of the family's 1533-position model. The record is from RNAcentral.
GGUCAGGACGAACGCUGGCGGCGUGCCUAACACAUGCAAGUCGAACGGGGAUUUGUUUCGGCAGAAUCCUAGUGGCGAACGAGUGAGUAACGCGUAGGCAACCUGCCCUCCGGCCGGGGACAACACUCCGAAAGGGGUGCUAAUACCGGAUACGAAGUCUGUGCCGCAUGGUACGGAUUUGAAAGAUGGCCUCUAUUUAUAAGCUAUCGCCGGGGGAUGGGCCUGCGUCCGAUUAGCUGGUUGGUGGGGUAACGGCCUACCAAGGCGACGAUCGGUAGCCGGUCUGAGAGGAUGAACGGCCACAUUGGGACUGAGACACGGCCCAGACUCCUACGGGAGGCAGCAGUGGGGAAUCUUCCGCAAUGGGCGCAAGCCUGACGGAGCAACGCCGCGUGAGUGAGGAAGUUCUUCGGAACGUAAAGCUCUGUUGUUCCUGACGAACCUCCCUUCUAUCAACAACGGAGGGGACUGACGGUAGGGAACGAGGAAGCCACGGCUAACUACGUGCCAGCAGCAGC